UUUGGCAGGACGAUAUAAACCAGAUAAGGCUUGAUUAUUUAGACAUCAAGAUGGGAUGUUUCACGGUUUCAAAGAGUAAGAAAAAAAUAUCCGAGCAGAGCAUCCACAUCAAACGUGUGAACCCUCACGAGCAGUCACCUACUGCACUGCCUGAACCCCAGAGAUCAACAAGAUCAUUGCAGUCCGCACCACCAAGUUUUAGAACAAGAGCAAAACCUGUGCAGUCAAACAGAGGAGUAACAACAAGUAGGACACGAACUCUAUCUGCCCCAUCAAGUCUGGAUUCAGCGGAUCAAGAUGCUUUAGCAUCGAAUGAAUGUGAGGAACAUGAAGAGUUGACUAGUCGUGCUGGAUCAAUAAAGGAAUACAGGUCAUCAGUUCCUCAGCCUCUUCCUCUUCCAUCACCACAGAAUGCCGCUGCUCUCAGGACUACAAGAAGCUUCAAAGUGGGGAAUACAAGUAUUCCUCUCAAUGCCUCUGGACCAUUGCCACUGCCUCCUGUGCUGCCUCCUACAUUGCCUUCUACUGGAACGCUGCGGAACUUUGCUUUCGAUGAAAUUUCUGCCGCAUGCCACCAUUUCUCUCCAGAACGCUGUAUGUCAGAAGGUCUCUCUUCUGUCAUCUACAGAGCUUCGUUUGGGGAUGAUGCCUCUGGUACAAAGAAGCUUGAAGCCACUAUAACUCGUCUUCACCCUUCUUCACAGGUAAUGUUCAAUUACAUUGGCAUGUUUUGACUUUAUAUUAUUCCCACUGUAUGUCAUCUGCUGAUUAGUCCCUUUCUUAUCUGUCAUGUCUGAUGAUGCAGUAAUUCUGUAAUGCCAUUCUAUGUCGCUUGGACUCUUUAAAAAUGUCAAAGGGUGCGUGUCGGAUUCGCCAAAACUAGUGUAUUUUCGGAGAAUCCGACACGGGUGCGGCCGCAUCCCCCCCCCCCCCCUCGUUCCAUCCCAACCCCAACUCUAGUCUUCUUUUUCCUACUAAUCUUUUGCCUUUUUACUCAUAAAAGUCUCAUCUUUUUGCCUCUCCGCAUAUAUAUUUCUCCAACUUCUUGUUAGGGUUUCUUUCCUCACCCAAAAAUUGCCCAUUAAUCCAACAUAAUUGAAUGAAAAUUCAUUACAUGGGUUGUUUUUUCUUCCCAAGAAAUCAGUAAAGAUCCAAACUUUGAGCUCAAAAAAGUGUCCAAGGUUGGUUUCUUUUUAGCUUUUCUCGAUUUUACUUUCUUGUUAAUUUUUGUAAUUCAGCUGAAAAUUUUGCAUCUUGGGGUCUUUUUUCCCCUCUAAUAUGUGGAUUAAGGAAAUCUAGUUGUUUGGUAGCUCAAAUUAUAUUGUUCAUUUAUUAGUGUUUCUUGAAAAUUUGCCCUUUGGAUAAUCUUGUUGCAAAUUGACCAAACUUUCAAAUUGUAGCAAACCAAGAAACUUGAUUUAUUUCUGAUUCUUUAUUGCUAAAGAUUGCUCGAUUACUUUUCCAUCUAGCCUAUCUGCUUCGGGAUAUAAAAGUCACUUGGUGUAAUUUGUAAAGUUGUUGUCAUCUGACUAGGAGGUCAUGGGUUCGUGCUGUGACACAGCCUCGUGCAGAAAUGCAUGGAGGGCUGUGUGCACCAGACCCUUGGAGUCUGGCCCUCCCUUGGACUCCGUGCAUAGCGGGAGCUUAGUGCACCAAUCUGCCCUUAAUCUUGUAAUUUAAAUCAUUUGAAGUACUUAGAGUGAAUUAAAUUGAUGGUAGCAUUGCUAUUAAAAAUUUCCUAUGUUUUAGAUAGAUGAGAAAAGUGGAGCUGAAGUAGUUCAAUUCUUUUUUAAACAAUAGUAGGAGAUUAUUCAAUCUCUUAGUUUCUAGCUUGUUUGGUGGAGCAAAGUGGUGAUAUAAUUUCUUGAUCGCAACUUCACUGGUGAUUGGUUUUGCUCUAUGAUCUUAGUAAAAUAAUGAUUUGAUUCCCUGAUAAGCCCAUGUUGCUCAAUAGUUUACAUUGUAAAGUGUUUCAGAAUGGUUGUCAUGUAUUUCUGUGUUACUACUGAUUUGGCAGGACGAUAUAAACCAGAUAAGGCUUGAUUAUUUAGACAUCAAGAUGGGAUGUUUCACGGUUUCAAAGAGUAAGAAAAAAAUAUCCGAGCAGAGCAUCCACAUCAAACGUGUGAACCCUCACGAGCAGUCACCUACUGCACUGCCUGAACCCCAGAGAUCAACAAGAUCAUUGCAGUCCGCACCACCAAGUUUUAGAACAAGAGCAAAACCUGUGCAGUCAAACAGAGGAGUAACAACAAGUAGGACACGAACUCUAUCUGCCCCAUCAAGUCUGGAUUCAGCGGAUCAAGAUGCUUUAGCAUCGAAUGAAUGUGAGGAACAUGAAGAGUUGACUAGUCGUGCUGGAUCAAUAAAGGAAU
This 2375-nucleotide long non-coding RNA is filed under the name Capsicum annuum. Its description in RNAcentral is "long non-coding RNA (CANN_LNC015974)". The record is from RNAcentral. Lineage: Eukaryota; Viridiplantae; Streptophyta; Magnoliopsida; Solanales; Solanaceae.